GGAAUAUUGGACAAUGGGCGCAAGCCUGAUCCAGCCAUGCCGCGUGCAGGAUGACGGUCCUAUGGAUUGUAAACUGCUUUUGCACAGGAAGAAACAACGCUACGUGUAGCGUCUUGACGGUACUGUGAGAAUAAGGAUCGGCUAACUCCGUGCCAGCAGCCGCGGUAAUACGGAGGAUCCAAGCGUUAUCCGGAAUCAUUGGGUUUAAAGGGUCCGUAGGCGGUUUAGUAAGUCAGUGGUGAAAGCCCAUCGCUCAACGGUGGAACGGCCAUUGAUACUGCUAAACUUGAAUUAUUAGGAAGUAACUAGAAUAUGUAGUGUAGCGGUGAAAUGCUUAGAGAUUACAUGGAAUACCAAUUGCGAAGGCAGGUUACUACUAAUGGAUUGACGCUGAUGGACGAAAGCGUGGGUAGCGAACAGGAUUAGAUACCCUAG
This 435-nucleotide ribosomal RNA is filed under the name uncultured Flavobacterium sp. Its description in RNAcentral is "bacterial SSU rRNA". It matches the Rfam family "Bacterial small subunit ribosomal RNA", at positions 358 to 790 of the family's 1533-position model. The record is from RNAcentral. Lineage: Bacteria; Pseudomonadati; Bacteroidota; Flavobacteriia; Flavobacteriales; Flavobacteriaceae.